Molecule: ribosomal RNA, 572 nt
Filed under: uncultured Glomeromycotina
Lineage: Eukaryota; Fungi; Glomeromycota
Description: SSU rRNA
Rfam family: Eukaryotic small subunit ribosomal RNA
Source: RNAcentral
UUGGAGGGCAAGUCUGGUGCCAGCAGCCGCGGUAAUUCCAGCUCCAAUAGCGUAUAUUAAAGUUGUUGCAGUUAAAAAGCUCGUAGUUGAAUUUCGGGAUUGACGUGAUGGUCAUGCCUUAAGGGGUAUGAACUGUCACAGUUGAUUUCUCACCUUCUGGAGAAACUUGAUGUCCUUUAUUGGGUGUCUUGCGGAUCCAGGACCUUUACCUUGAAAAAAUUAGAGUGUUUAAAGCAGGCAUUUUUGCUCGAAUACAUUAGCAUGGAAUAAUAGAAUAGGACGGCAUGGUUCUAUUUUGUUGGUUUCUAGGAUCACCGUAAUGAUUAAUAGGGAUAGUUGGGGGCAUUAGUAUUCAAUUGUCAGAGGUGAAAUUCUUGGAUUUAUUGAAGACUAACUACUGCGAAAGCAUUAGCCAAGGAUGUUUUCAUUAAUCAAGAACGAAAGUUAGGGGAUCGAAGACGAUCAGAUACCGUCGUAGUCUUAACCAUAAACUAUGCCGACUAGGAAUCAGACGAUGUUAAUUUUUUAAUGACUCGUUUGGCACCUUACGGGAAACCAAAGUGUUUGGGUUC